RNAcentral lists this ribosomal RNA (451 nucleotides) under uncultured bacterium. RNAcentral describes it as "bacterial SSU rRNA". It matches the Rfam family "Bacterial small subunit ribosomal RNA", at positions 338 to 786 of the family's 1533-position model. The record is from RNAcentral.
CCUACGGGAGGCAGCAGUGAGGAAUAUUGGACAAUGGACGAAAGUCUGAUCCAGCUAUGCCGCGUGCAGGAUGACGGCCCUAUGGGUUGUAAACUGCUUUUAUACAGGAAGAAAAACUCCGACGUGUCGGAACUUGACGGUACUGUAAGAAUAAGGAUCGGCUAACUCCGUGCCAGCAGCCGCGGUAAUACGGAGGAUCCAAGCGUUAUCCGGAAUCAUUGGGUUUAAAGGGUCCGUAGGCGGUUUUUUAAGUCAGAGGUGAAAUCCUGCAGCUCAACUGUAGAAUUGCCUUUGAUACUGAAAGACUUGAGUUAUUGUGAAGUGGUUAGAAUGUGUGGUGUAGCGGUGAAAUGCAUAGAUAUCACACAGAAUACCAAUUGCGAAGGCAGAUCACUUAAUUAUAACUGACGCUGAGGGACGAAAGCGUGGGUAGCGAACAGGAUUANAUACC